CCUACGGGUGGCAGCAGUGGGGAAUAUUGGGCAAUGGGCGCAAGCCUGACCCAGCAACGCCGCGUGAAGGAAGAAGGCUUUCGGGUUGUAAACUUUUUUUUUCAGGGACGAAGUAAGUGACGGUACUUGAGGAAUAAGUCACGGUUAACUACGUGCCAGCAGCCGCGGUAAUACGUAGGUGGCAAGCGUUAUCCGGAUUUACUGGGUGUAAAGGGGGUGUUGGCGGGCCUGCAAGUCAGAUGUGAAAACCACGGGCUCAACCUGUGGCCUGCAUUUGACACUGUAGUUCUUGAGUACUGGAGAGGCAGACGGAAUUCCUAGUGUAGCGGUGAAAUGCGUAGAUAUUAGGAGGAACACCAGUGGCGAAGGCGAUCUGCUGGACAGCAACUGACGCUGAGGCGCGAAAGCGUGGGGAGCGAACGGGAUUAGAUACCCCUGUAGUC
This 443-nucleotide ribosomal RNA is filed under the name uncultured bacterium. Its description in RNAcentral is "partial 16S ribosomal RNA". It matches the Rfam family "Bacterial small subunit ribosomal RNA", at positions 338 to 795 of the family's 1533-position model. The record is from RNAcentral.